UACGAAGGGUGCAAACGUUGCUCGGAAUUAUUGGGCGUAAAGCGCACGUAGGCGGCUUAGCAAGUCGGAUGUGAAAUCCCUCGGCUCAACCAAGGAAGUGCAUCCGAAACUGCUGAGCUUGAGUACGAAAGAGGAUCGCGGAAUACCCGGUGUAGAGGUGAAAUUCGUAGAUAUCGGGAGGAACACCAGUGGCGAAGGCGGCGAUCUGGGUCGAUACUGACGCUGAGGUGCGAAAGCGUGGGGAGCAAACAGG
This 253-nucleotide ribosomal RNA is filed under the name uncultured bacterium. RNAcentral's name for it is "partial 16S ribosomal RNA". It matches the Rfam family "Bacterial small subunit ribosomal RNA", at positions 524 to 776 of the family's 1533-position model. The record is from RNAcentral.